Molecule: ribosomal RNA, 1526 nt
Filed under: Neisseria meningitidis NM3222
Lineage: Bacteria; Pseudomonadati; Pseudomonadota; Betaproteobacteria; Neisseriales; Neisseriaceae
Description: bacterial SSU rRNA
Rfam family: Bacterial small subunit ribosomal RNA
Source: RNAcentral
GAGUUUGAUCCUGGCUCAGAUUGAACGCUGGCGGCAUGCUUUACACAUGCAAGUCGGACGGCAGCACAGAGAAGCUUGCUUCUCGGGUGGCGAGUGGCGAACGGGUGAGUAACAUAUCGGAACGUACCGAGUAGUGGGGGAUAACUGAUCGAAAGAUCAGCUAAUACCGCAUACGUCUUGAGAGAGAAAGCAGGGGACCUUUGGGCCUUGCGCUAUUCGAGCGGCCGAUAUCUGAUUAGCUAGUUGGUGGGGUAAAGGCCUACCAAGGCGACGAUCAGUAGCGGGUCUGAGAGGAUGAUCCGCCACACUGGGACUGAGACACGGCCCAGACUCCUACGGGAGGCAGCAGUGGGGAAUUUUGGACAAUGGGCGCAAGCCUGAUCCAGCCAUGCCGCGUGUCUGAAGAAGGCCUUCGGGUUGUAAAGGACUUUUGUCAGGGAAGAAAAGGCUGUUGCUAAUACCAGCGGCUGAUGACGGUACCUGAAGAAUAAGCACCGGCUAACUACGUGCCAGCAGCCGCGGUAAUACGUAGGGUGCGAGCGUUAAUCGGAAUUACUGGGCGUAAAGCGGGCGCAGACGGUUACUUAAGCAGGAUGUGAAAUCCCCGGGCUCAACCCGGGAACUGCGUUCUGAACUGGGUGACUCGAGUGUGUCAGAGGGAGGUAGAAUUCCACGUGUAGCAGUGAAAUGCGUAGAGAUUGGAGGAAUACCGAUGGCGAAGGCAGCCUCCUGGGACAACACUGACGUUCAUGCCCGAAAGCGUGGGUAGCAAACAGGAUUAGAUACCCUGGUAGUCCACGCCCUAAACGAUGUCAAUUAGCUGUUGGGCAACUUGAUUGCUUAGUAGCGUAGCUAACGCGUGAAAUUGACCGCCUGGGGAGUACGGUCGCAAGAUUAAAACUCAAAGGAAUUGACGGGGACCCGCACAAGCGGUGGAUGAUGUGGAUUAAUUCGAUGCAACGCGAAGAACCUUACCUGGUCUUGACAUGUACGGAAUCCUCCAGAGACGGAGGAGUGCCUUCGGGAGCCGUAACACAGGUGCUGCAUGGCUGUCGUCAGCUCGUGUCGUGAGAUGUUGGGUUAAGUCCCGCAACGAGCGCAACCCUUGUCAUUAGUUGCCAUCAUUCAGUUGGGCACUCUAAUGAGACUGCCGGUGACAAGCCGGAGGAAGGUGGGGAUGACGUCAAGUCCUCAUGGCCCUUAUGACCAGGGCUUCACACGUCAUACAAUGGUCGGUACAGAGGGUAGCCAAGCCGCGAGGCGGAGCCAAUCUCACAAAACCGAUCGUAGUCCGGAUUGCACUCUGCAACUCGAGUGCAUGAAGUCGGAAUCGCUAGUAAUCGCAGGUCAGCAUACUGCGGUGAAUACGUUCCCGGGUCUUGUACACACCGCCCGUCACACCAUGGGAGUGGGGGAUACCAGAAGUAGGUAGGGUAACCGCAAGGGGUCCGCUUACCACGGUAUGCUUCAUGACUGGGGUGAAGUCGUAACAAGGUAGCCGUAGGGGAACCUGCGGCUGGAUCACC